UUAUGUGCAUGGCAAAAUAGACAUUUACAAUGUAAUAGCAUACUCUUUUUAAUUUAUCAAAAUUAUUGAUAACACGUUAUGGCAGUAUUUUCGUGUUUUGAUAGUUGCCUUACUGUGGAAUAUGUUGUUUAUUUGUCAAUUUAAAGGAUUAUUACUGUACAUGCAGUUUUAUUAUCUAUAAUACACAAAUGUUUACAUGAAUUAUUGUCCUGAAAAAGAAUGAAAUAUUUGC
Molecule: long non-coding RNA, 232 nt
Filed under: Mytilus galloprovincialis (Mediterranean mussel)
Lineage: Eukaryota; Metazoa; Mollusca; Bivalvia; Mytilida; Mytilidae
Source: RNAcentral